UACGGGGGGGGCAAGCGUUGUUCGGAAUUACUGGGCGUAAAGGGCUCGUAGGCGGCCAACUAAGUCCGACGUGAAAUCCCCAGGCUUAACCUGGGAACUGCGUCGGAUACUGGAUGGCUUGAAUUCGGGAGAGGGAUGCAGAAUUCCAGGUGUAGCGGUGAAAUGCGUAGAUAUCUGGAGGAAUACCGGUGGCGAAGGCGGCAUCCUGGACCGACAUUGACGCUGAUGGGCGAAAGCUAGGGGAGCAAACGGG
Molecule: ribosomal RNA, 253 nt
Filed under: uncultured bacterium
Lineage: Bacteria
Description: partial 16S ribosomal RNA
Rfam family: Bacterial small subunit ribosomal RNA
Source: RNAcentral